UUUUAUGGAGAGUUUGAUCCUGGCUCAGGAUGAACGCUGGCGGCGUGCCUAAUACAUGCAAGUCGAGCGAACAGACGAGGAGCUUGCUCCUCUGACGUUAGCGGCGGACGGGUGAGUAACACGUGGAUAACCUACCUAUAAGACUGGGAUAACUUCGGGAAACCGGAGCUAAUACC
RNAcentral lists this ribosomal RNA (176 nucleotides) under Staphylococcus epidermidis. RNAcentral's name for it is "partial 16S ribosomal RNA". It matches the Rfam family "Bacterial small subunit ribosomal RNA", at positions 1 to 170 of the family's 1533-position model. The record is from RNAcentral. Lineage: Bacteria; Bacillati; Bacillota; Bacilli; Caryophanales; Staphylococcaceae.